GACGAACGCUGGCGGCGUGCUUAACACAUGCAAGUCGAACGGAAAGGCCCUGCUUUUGUGGGGUGCUCGAGUGGCGAACGGGUGAGUAACACGUGAGUAACCUGCCCUUGACUUUGGGAUAACUCCAGGAAACUGGGGCUCAUACCGGAUAGGAGCUCCUGCUGCAUGGUGGGGGUUGGAAAGUUUCGGCGGUUGGGGAUGGACUCGCGGCUUAUCAGCUUGUUGGUGGGGUAGUGGCUUACCAAGGCUUUGACGGGUAGCCGGCCUGAGAGGGUGACCGGCCACAUUGGGACUGAGAUACGGCCCAGACUCCUACGGGAGGCAGCAGUGGGGAAUAUUGCACAAUGGGCGGAAGCCUGAUGCAGCAACGCCGCGUGCGGGAUGACGGCCUUCGGGUUGUAAACCGCUUUCGCCUGUGACGAAGCGUGAGUGACGGUAAUGGGUAAAGAAGCACCGGCUAACUACGUG
Molecule: ribosomal RNA, 468 nt
Filed under: uncultured bacterium
Lineage: Bacteria
Description: partial 16S ribosomal RNA
Rfam family: Bacterial small subunit ribosomal RNA
Source: RNAcentral